This is a non-coding RNA of Pelobates cultripes (western spadefoot toad), 202 nucleotides long. Lineage: Eukaryota; Metazoa; Chordata; Amphibia; Anura; Pelobatidae. The record is from the annotation of a GenBank genome assembly.
CUCCGUGCUCACGAGAGAAAGACCCGGAGGAGCUGCAGGCUGAGCUGUCGGGUCCUCUCUCCCUCCCCUGCUGGCUGCCAGCACAGUCCCUGUGGACCGGGAAGGGGGAUCUCUGAUCUCCCCUCCCAUCCGUGAAGGCACAUUGCAGGGCCGGCGCCUGCAUAUGCUGGCAGGGAAGAGGGAGACCUUUGGUCUGCUUGGU